This 861-nucleotide long non-coding RNA is filed under the name Coturnix japonica (Japanese quail). RNAcentral describes it as "lncRNA (ENSCJPG00005006313.1)". The record is from RNAcentral. Lineage: Eukaryota; Metazoa; Chordata; Aves; Galliformes; Phasianidae.
UGGGGCUUUCUGCUGGAGGUUCCAAAUGGAAUAAUGGCUGCAGCAUAAAACAUGCUUUUUACUUCUUGUCCUGUCCAAACUGGCCCAAGGGCUACUGCAUGAACUGCCUUCUGUUUCAUUUAUUCAUUUGUUUCCAAGUGGUGUAUAAGGUUUGGUAGCUCACUAAAGCAGCACAGUACCCAUCAUAACAAAGGUUGUUUGCACUUCGGUGUUCAAAUGAUGACUGCCUCUCCAUCUGCCCUCCUUCAAAUAAUGUAUGUGGCAAGUAAGUGCACAAAAGCUACUGCUUUCCAACAGGAGCUUUGGUCAGCCACCCAUUUUCCUCCUCUGUGAGGAGAAAAGGAGUGUCUGAGUCUUACUACACCUGCCGAUUUUGGUUGCCUUUUGAUGAUGCAAUGUACUGGCAGGUAGGUCCAGGCUCCUCCCGCAGUCUGACCCUAUGUCCUGUGUAAAGCAUACCUAGAUGCAGGCUCUGUCAGUAGAAUGAGCUGUCCCUGCCAGCGGUGUUGCUUGUCCUAAUAUCUGCUCCCAUUGUUUUUUUACAGACAUGUGAGCCAAGUGGUGGACCUUUGGAUCUAAGGGCUGGCUGUACAGGGAGCGCUCAUGGAUAAGUUGGUGUCUGAUGCCCACAAACUAAGAAAGUGGAUGAUACCUGUUCAGCAGCACCAUCAUGACACUUGGAGUUGCGCUGCAUGGGGAGGGUUUCUGAGACACCCUUCUAGAACAUGAUUGAAAUAGGACUAUGGAGCCCAUAGAAGUAUUCCAGGAGUUUCUGAAUAACAGCAAGGUGUCAGCUAUUCAAGCUCUGUAGUUGGUAAGUCAUAUGGUUCCCAGCCUCCAUCUACCUGAGUCUCCUCGCAG